UUCCGGUUGAUCCUGCCGGAGGUCACUGCUAUUGGGAUUCGACUAAGCCAUGCGAGUCGAGAGGGUUCGGCCCUCGGCUGACGGCUCAGUAACACGUGGAUAAUCUGCCCUUAGGUGGAGGAUAAUCUCGGGAAACUGAGGAUAAUACUCCAUAGAUCUAGGAUGCUGGAAUGCAUUUAGAUUGAAAGCUCCGGCGCCUAAGGAUGAGUCUGCGGACUAUCAGGUUGUAGUCAGGAUAAAGACCUGACUAGCCUACGACGGAUACGGGUUGUGAGAGCAAUAACCCGGAGACGAUAUCUGAGACACGAUAUCGGGCCCUACGGGGCGCAGCAGGCGCGAAAACUUCACACUGUGCGAAAGCGCGAUGAGGGAAUCCCAAGUGCUUACUCGUAAGAGUAAGCUGUUUCUUUGUCUAAAAAGCAGAGAGAGUAAGGGCUGGGUAAGACGGGUGCCAGCCGCCGCGGUAAUACCUGCAGCUCAAGUGGUGAUCAUUAUUAUUGGGCCUAAAACGUCCGUAGCCGGUUUAGUAAAUGCCUGGGUAAAUCGUGUAGCUUAACUAUACGAAUUCCGGGUAGACUGCUAAACUUGAGACCGGGUGAGGCUAGAGGUACUCCUGGGGUAGAGGUGAAAUUCUGUAAUCCUAGGGGGACCACCAGUGGCGAAGGCGUUUAGCUAGAACGGGUCUGACGGUGAGGGACGAAGCCCUGGGGCGCAAACCGGAUUAGAUACCCGGGUAGUCCAGGGUGUAAACACUGCUUGCUUGAUGUUAGUUGGGCUCCGAGCCCAACUAGUGUCGGAGAGAAGUUGUUAAGCAAGCUGCCUGGGAAGUACGGUCGCAAGGCUGAAACUUAAAGGAAUUGGCGGGGGAGCACAGCAACGGGUGGAGCGUGCGGUUUAAUUGGACUCAACGCCGGA
This 915-nucleotide ribosomal RNA is filed under the name uncultured archaeon. RNAcentral's name for it is "bacterial SSU rRNA". It matches the Rfam family "Archaeal small subunit ribosomal RNA", at positions 1 to 922 of the family's 1478-position model. The record is from RNAcentral.